UUUUUUUUUUUUUUUUUUUUGAGGAUGGGACACAGAGCUUGGAGGGAUUUUCCAGCUUAAAUCCAUUCUGGGACUGUGCAAAAGCACCAAAAAUCAGGAGUGGCCAGACACCUGAUGUUUAAGAGAAUGCUCUAAACGUACCAGGGCAUCCCUAAAAACCCAGUCAGGCUAAAAAAAUGUAUCUGGAAUAUGACAGAUGAACCUUUUUUGGUCCAAAAUCAGUGGUAAAAUCCCAAAUUGAGCGGUAAAAUGAGGAAACAGUUUAUAUUGCAGUUUUCCAACAGGCAGCUGGAGAUCCAAGGGAGAUCCAAGGGAGGCUCUGGUGUUCUCCAACACUCCCAAAAAAACCUGGCGGAUUCCCAUUUUCCACUCACAGCACCCAAAAGUUCGAACUGAUCCUCUGGAAUCGGCUCCCUCUUGGCAAAAAGGAGCAAAAGGAGCGUGGAGAAACAUUCCCUUGGAAACAGAUGGAAUGCUCAGCUGAGCUGUGCUCACAGCAGGGGAAAAUGAGGGAAAAAUGAGGGAAAAAUGAGGGGAAAAUGAGGGAAAAAUGAGGGAAAAAUGAGGGAAAAACAUCUUCAUGGACACUGUCCAGCCUGCAGGAAUUCCUGCCCCUCACCACCCACAGCUCAUCCCAGGUGCUGCAGGCUCCAUGAGGGAGGAAUUCCCUCAUCCAUGGAGGAGAAAUUUCCUGAUCCAUGAAGGAGAAAUUCCCUGAUUCGUGAAGGAGGAAUUCCGUGAUUCAUUUAGGUGGAAUUUCCUGAUCCAUGAAGAGGAAUUCCUAAGCCAUGAAGGAGAAAUUCCUGAUCCAUGAAGGAGAAAUUCCUGAUCCAUGAAGGAGAAAUUCCCUGAUUCACGAUUCCCUGAUCCAUGAAGGAGGAAUUCCCUGAUCCAUGAAGGAGGAAUUUCUGAUCCAUAAAGGAGAAAUUCCCUGAUCCAUGAGGGAGGAAUUCCCUGAUCCAUGAAGGUGGAAUUUCCAUGAAGGAGGAAUUCCCUGAUCCAUGGAGGAAUUCCCUGAUCCAUGGAGGAGAAAUUCCUGAUCCAUGAAGGGGGAAUUUCCUGAUCCAUAAAGGAGAAAUUUCCUGAUCCAUGAGGGAAGAAUUCCCUGAUCCACGAAGGUGGAAUUUCCAUGAAGGAGGAAUUCCCUGAUCCAUGGAGGAAUUCCCUGAUCCAUGAAGGAGGAAUUCCUGAUCCAUGAAAGAGAAAUUCCUGAUCCAUGAAGGUGGAAUUUCCUGAUCCAUGGAGGAGGAAUUCCUGAUCCAUGAAGGACAAAUUCCCUGAGAAAUUUUCCUCCCCAAAAGCUCCAGCUGGAGCAUUCCCUGCUCUCCUCUCCGCUCCUCCUGGGUCUCUCCAGGCUGCUGGAACCUCCCUGAUCCCAAAUUUUCUUUGGGAGAGCAGCAGGAGGGGUCAAGGAGGUAAAAAUGCACAUUCCAGCUGUUUGUCUCCCGCAGAAAAUUCCCAUUUGUUCAAACGUGGACAGGGAAUGCAGCUGCGCUCUCCAACUCUGGAAUUUUGGAGGUAAAAAGAUCAAAGCACUGCGCUUUCAGUGAGGCUGAGAGGGGAAAAAAUCCCAGAAAAGCUGUGAAAUUCCCAUCCCCGGAGUGUUGGGAUGGUGGAAGGCGGCCCUGGAGCAGCUUGAAGGUCCCUCCCAGCCCAGAGCAUUCCCUGAAUCCAUGAUUCCAUGGAAUGAAGCUGGGAGCCACUGGCUUUAUUGAAAUAAUCCAAACAGAACAUGGAAAACAGAGGGAAGGAAUAGACAGGGCAUGAGGAAAAGCUGCUGGGGACACCUCUGGAAUUGCAGCUGGAGGGUUUUCCUGGGAUUCACUGCCCACCGAGGACAAAAUCCAGGUUUAAGGGCGCUCCCAGAGCCGAGUUUCUCCUGACAAAACCAGGAUUUGGUUGGGGAAACACUUCCAGAGAGGAGAUGUGAACAGAGCCAAGAACAACGGGGGAUUUUCUCUGGGCUGGGGGGGGUCUUGCCCAAAUUCCUACAAAUGACAAGAUGUGGAUGAGCCCUUUGGGAAAACAGGGGGAGGAGAAGAUCCCUGGCACUUGGGAGUAGAAUUCCAGCAGGAAAGGGAAGGUUCUCCAGGUUCCUGAGGUGACUCAAGACUCCCAGGAAUCUCCAUCCCUCCCAAAUCCCUGCAUCAGCCUGGAAUGUUUGGCUGAUUCCGAUGCUGAGGGGUUAUUUUGGGAUCUCAGGUGGGCUCUGGCAGCCUCCAGGGUUAAAUCCUGCCUGGAAAAGUGCUGGGAGAGGGAAGGAAGGAGGGAGGGAGCUGUCUGAUCCAAGGAAUGUUUGCAAAAAACUCCCAGCACAUCCAGUGAUUUCAAUAUAUUCACAUUUCCAUCCUUUGCCAUCAGCAUCCCACAAAAAGCAAGGCACGAGCUGGGAUAUUCCAAAGGCAGCAUCACCAGAUCCAUUUGGGAAUAAAUGGCUUCCUAAGAGAUGAUUCUCAAUCAAACCUUUUCCACUUGAUCUAAAAGCUGGGCCUAUUAGGAGAGAAAUGGGAAAGAUUGGUGCAUUGCCAUAAAAAAAUAAAAAACCAAAAAAUUGAUGUUCCAAUUGCACUGGAAAUGAAGAUGGAUUUGAUAAGAACAAAUCCAGGCCUGUUAUCAUUUCCCUCCUGGCAGGAGGGAA
This is a long non-coding RNA of Taeniopygia guttata (zebra finch), 2638 nucleotides long. Lineage: Eukaryota; Metazoa; Chordata; Aves; Passeriformes; Estrildidae. The record is from Ensembl.